GGGUUAGCCCUAGCACAGGUGCUGCAUGGCCGUCGUCAGCUCGUGCCGUGAGGUGUUGGGUUAAGUCCCGCAACGAGCGCAACCCCGCGUUAGUGCCAGCGGUUCGGCCGGGCACUCUAACGGGGACUGCCCGCGAAAGCGGGAGGAAGGAGGGGACGACGUCUGGUCAGCAUGGCCCUUACGGCCUGGGCGACACACGUGCUACAAUGCCCACUACAAAGCGAUGCCACCCGGCAACGGGGAGCUAAUCGCAAAAAGGUGGGCCCAGUUCGGAUUGGGGUCUGCAACCCGACCCCAUGAAGCCGGAAUCGCUAGUAAUCGCGGAUCAGCCAUGCCGCGGUGAAUACGUUCCCGGGCCUU
Molecule: ribosomal RNA, 360 nt
Filed under: uncultured Thermus sp.
Lineage: Bacteria; Thermotogati; Deinococcota; Deinococci; Thermales; Thermaceae
Description: bacterial SSU rRNA
Rfam family: Bacterial small subunit ribosomal RNA
Source: RNAcentral